UACGAGGGGAGCAAGCGUUGUUCGGAUUUACUGGGCGUAAAGGGUGCGUAGGCGGGUCUUUAAGUCAGGGGUGAAAUCCUGGAGCUCAACUCCAGAACUGCCUUUGAUACUGAGGAUCUUGAGUUCGGGAGAGGUGAGUGGAACUGCGAGUGUAGAGGUGAAAUUCGUAGAUAUUCGCAAGAACACCAGUGGCGAAGGCGGCUCACUGGCCCGGUACUGACGCUGAGGUGCGAAAGCGUGGGGAGCAAACAGG
RNAcentral lists this ribosomal RNA (253 nucleotides) under uncultured bacterium. RNAcentral describes it as "partial 16S ribosomal RNA". It matches the Rfam family "Bacterial small subunit ribosomal RNA", at positions 524 to 776 of the family's 1533-position model. The record is from RNAcentral.